UACGUAGGCAGCAAGCGUUGUUCGGAGUUACUGGGCGUAAAGGGUGCGUAGGCGGCCGAUUAAGUUUGUCGUGAAAUCUCCCGGCUCAACUGGGAGGGUGCGGCGGAUACUGAUUGGCUGGAGUGCGGGAGAGGAGAGUGGAAUUCCUGGUGUAGCGGUGAAAUGCGUAGAUAUCAGGAGGAACACCGGCGGUGUAGACGGCUCUCUGGACCGUAACUGACGCUGAGGCACGAAAGCGUGGGGAGCAAACAGGAUUAGAAACCCCCGUAGUC
This 272-nucleotide ribosomal RNA is filed under the name uncultured bacterium. RNAcentral's name for it is "partial 16S ribosomal RNA". It matches the Rfam family "Bacterial small subunit ribosomal RNA", at positions 524 to 795 of the family's 1533-position model. The record is from RNAcentral.